UCCUACGGGAGGCAGCAGUGAGGAAUAUUGGUCAAUGGUCGGGAGACUGAACCAGCCAAGCCGCGUGAGGGAUGAAGGUACAGAGUAUCGUAAACCUCUUUUGUCAGGGAACAAAGGCGGGGACGUGUCCCCGGAUGAGUGUACCUGAAGAAAAAGCAUCGGCUAACUCCGUGCCAGCAGCCGCGGUAAUACGGAGGAUGCGAGCGUUAUCCGGAUUUAUUGGGUUUAAAGGGUGCGCAGGCGGUCUGUUAGGUCAGCGGUCAAAGCCCGGGGCUCAACCCCGGCCCGCCGUUGAAACUGGCAGU
RNAcentral lists this ribosomal RNA (305 nucleotides) under uncultured bacterium. RNAcentral describes it as "bacterial SSU rRNA". It matches the Rfam family "Bacterial small subunit ribosomal RNA", at positions 337 to 640 of the family's 1533-position model. The record is from RNAcentral.